GGGGAAUAUUGCGCAAUGGGGGAAACCCUGACGCAGCAACGCCGCGUGCGGGAUGAAGGCCUUCGGGUUGUAAACCGCUUUCAGCAGGGACGAAGGGUUUCUGACGGUACCUGCAGAAGAAGCACCGGCUAACUACGUGCCAGCAGCCGCGGUGAUACGUAGGGUGCGAGCGUUGUCCGGAAUUAUUGGGCGUAAAGAGCUUGUAGGCGGUCCGUCACGUCGGAAGUGAAAACUCAGGGCUUAACCCUGAGCCUGCUUUCGAUACGGGCAGACUUGAGGGAUGUAGGGGAGAACGGAAUUCCUGGUGGAGCGGUGGAAUGCGCAGAUAUCAGGAGGAACACCAGUGGCGAAGGCGGCCACCUGGACAGGUACUGACGCUGAGGCGCGAAAGCGUGGGGAGCAAACA
This 406-nucleotide ribosomal RNA is filed under the name uncultured Propionibacteriaceae bacterium. Its description in RNAcentral is "bacterial SSU rRNA". It matches the Rfam family "Bacterial small subunit ribosomal RNA", at positions 356 to 774 of the family's 1533-position model. Lineage: Bacteria; Bacillati; Actinomycetota; Actinomycetes; Propionibacteriales; Propionibacteriaceae. The record is from RNAcentral.